UCUCUGAGAUCAGCUCUGUGAAUGAAUCAUGGAUCGUGGUUGUUCGGAUUGUCUGUGUUUUGUUUGUUUGUGAUGUCUCUAGAUAUUUUUAGGUUGUAAGCCAAUCAAACAUUUUAGGAUUAGCCAAUUUUAUAUCAUAUUUUUUAUUUGUUCAUGAUGUCAUUUGCUUUUAUUAUUUUUCCUAUACAUAGUAUAUGUUUCUUUCAUCAUUUUCACUUGCACAUUUCUUCCAAAUAGUGUUGUCAAACUCCAAAAGAUUGUCAUGACACCAAGAUUUGAUAACAUCUAUGAAAUCAACUCGAUCAAAGAAUCAUGAAGAGAGUUGUUCGAAUAAUUCAUGUUUGGUUUGUUAAUAAUAUCAAUUGUCAUAGACACCCGUUCUAUCUAGAUAUGAUUCCCAUUGAUGCGCCUAUUUGUAUAUAAUGAAUGUAAAAAAAUGACAUUUUAAAUUAAUCUAAUUUUUGUAUAUAAUUCAUGCCAUUAUG
Molecule: long non-coding RNA, 485 nt
Filed under: Medicago truncatula (barrel medic)
Lineage: Eukaryota; Viridiplantae; Streptophyta; Magnoliopsida; Fabales; Fabaceae
Description: lncRNA gene44961
Source: RNAcentral